RNAcentral lists this long non-coding RNA (811 nucleotides) under Gallus gallus (chicken). RNAcentral's name for it is "lncRNA (ENSGALG00010009688.1)". The record is from RNAcentral. Lineage: Eukaryota; Metazoa; Chordata; Aves; Galliformes; Phasianidae.
GUGGGAUUUUAUGGGGUUUAGGGGGGACUCAGAGGGUUUGAGGGGGUCCUAUAGGGCUGGGGGGGUUCUAAGGGGCUUGGGGGGGCAAUACAGUGGGGUCCUAUGGGGCUGGGGGGUGCCGAUGGGGUUUGGGGGUUCCUAUAGGGUUUGGGGGGCAAUACAGUGGGGUCCUAUGGGGAUGGGGGGGUCUUAUGGGGUUUGGGAGUGUUAUAUGGGGUUUUGGGGGGUCCUAUGGGGCUGGGGGGUUCUAUGGGGCUGGGGGGAGUCCUAUACAGUUUAGGGGGGAAAUACAGUGGGGUCCUAUGGGGUUUGGGGGGUCUUAUUGGAUUUGGGGGGACAAUACAGUGGGGUCCUAUGGGGAUGGGGGGGGGCUAUGGGGUUUUGGAGGGGGUCCUAUGGAGUUUGGGGGGCCCUAUGGGGUUUUGGGGGGUCCUAUGGGGUUUGAGGGGUCCUAUGGGGUUUGGGGAGGUCCUAUGGGGUUUGGGGGGGUCCUAUGGGGUUUGGGGGGCCUAUGGGGUUGGGGGUGUCCUAUGGGGUUUGAGGGUGUUCUAUAGGGUUUGCGGGCAUUCUAUGGGGCUGGGGGGGGUUCUAUGGGGUUUGGGGGGGUCCUAUGGGGCUGUGGGGAGUCCUAUAGAGUUUAGGGGGGGCAAAUACAGUGGGGUCCUAUGGGGUUUGGGGGGUCCUAUUCGAUUUGGGGGGGCAAUACAGUGGGGUCCUAUGGGGAUGGGGGGUGCCUAUGGGGUUUUGGAGGGGGUCCUAUGGGGUUUGGGGGUGUUAUAUGGGGUUUUGGGGGGUCCUAUGGGGCUGUGGG